RNAcentral lists this long non-coding RNA (566 nucleotides) under Helianthus annuus (common sunflower). Its description in RNAcentral is "sRNA HanXRQr2_Chr15g0681261". The record is from RNAcentral. Lineage: Eukaryota; Viridiplantae; Streptophyta; Magnoliopsida; Asterales; Asteraceae.
UCUUCAUCUCCACCUCUCACCACCACUACCAACCACUACUUCAUUACCCUCCACCGUGACAUCACCACCAUUUUGAUUUGAUUUUUACAGUUAACACAUCACCAGUUGUAACCAAACCUCCACAACUUCUCAAACGACCUUCCUUUUCCGGUAGCUAAAUAUACCACCACCGGUGACCUAAAUCUCGGGUCGUUGCUUCAAGUAGGACUAAAAUAGGAGAUUUGAGAUUGAAGAAUGAGGAAGAUUGAAACUUUAGAAAAUGGUGGAUGAAAGUGCAGCGAAUCCGGAGUAGUAGUCGCCGGAAAAACAACGCAGGAUCAGGAUUCAAGGAAUCAAACGCUUGUCGUGGUACCGGCGAUGUUUGAUUGAGUAGUAGCCGCCGGAAAAACAACGCAGGUGAAGGUUGGCCGGAACCCAAACCACGCAUACUGUGUGUGGAUGAGGGAGGUCUUUGGUUGCAUAUUCUUCAUACGUUAUCAUAAAGAGAUCUAUAAUCAGAUUCAUGGCGUGGUGUUCUAAAACAACAGGAUAAAUUGACUAUGAUUCAAGUCAUGGUGUUUUAUCUG